Long non-coding RNA from Phyllopteryx taeniolatus (common seadragon), 1086 nucleotides. RefSeq lists it as uncharacterized. The transcript is spliced from 2 exons. NCBI's taxonomy places the organism in Eukaryota, Metazoa, Chordata, Actinopteri, Syngnathiformes, Syngnathidae. The record is from RefSeq and is a predicted model, not a curated record.
GAAAAUUCCAGCUGUCCGACCCGCGUCGGUGCCAUGACCUGACUUCUUUCCAUCUGACAUGUCCGGUGGGGCGCUCAGACGAGGAUUAACUUCCGAUUGGCGCACCUCCCCUCUCGCUGGCGGCUGUGCCAGCAGAGCAACCACUUCAAAGAGGUCAGGAAAAAAAGGCGGCAGGAAUUAUCAUAGCCAAACUUGCCUCAGGACGGGCAGGAGGGGAAAAGAAUGGGAAAAGCCGUUUUGAUGUGCCGGCCCUCCGGUGUUGGGACGGCGUGAAAUGCGGGAGAGCAAGGGCCAACGGGGGAGAGGAUCCAGCUAACGCCAGAUGCUAACGUAGCCUUCUACAUCUUCACUCAGUGCUGUCACACUUGUAGCGGCUCUUGCUUUCAACACGACAGGACAGAAAAACACUCUCCCACGGCUCCAGCAGAAAACUACAAACAGCGCCUGUUACGUCUCGCUACUAAUGUGCUGUAUCCGUCAACCUAACUUGGCGUGGUUCUAUUCACGUCAAAAGAUUGGCUUAGCGUGGAGCAACUUGCAUUAUUAUUGGCUAUUCGUAUUGUCUUUCAAAACAUGGACCUAACCAAAUGUGUUUAGCUGAGCCAUAAUAGGUCAAGAGGCUAAGGGUAGAUCUUAAGUCUCUUCCUUGCUUCUACAUCCUCCAUAUACAACAACAGCAACCUGGCAGAAAGAGAAAUGAGAUCAAGCCCUAAAGCCUCUAUUGAAGGCUCCCGCAGAAUCCCUUGAGGCAUCACUGGCGGGGUUUUCGUCAAGAUGUUUUUCUAUCGAACAUAUUCUAUAUUGAUAUUGAUCAUGUGUCUGUCGCGAUCUAUAGUGAUAUUGAAUUGUCGCCCAGCUCUAACAUGCUUACUUAUAUAGAAAGACAGGACAAAUAUGUUUUAGUGCUCCAAAUUGGUGAUAUUUAAUUGGCUCUGGGCAAUUCAAUACAACCACAAAGAUGCUGUGCAAAGAAAGCAAACAUUAAGUCGACACUUAUGAAUGACAUCGGCGAGGAAGGAUACUACGAAAUGAGAAUUCAUGCAAAAAAAAAACCACAAAAGAAAUUACUAAGGAUUUGUAAUGAAU